RNAcentral lists this ribosomal RNA (256 nucleotides) under uncultured bacterium. Its description in RNAcentral is "partial 16S ribosomal RNA". It matches the Rfam family "Bacterial small subunit ribosomal RNA", at positions 793 to 1055 of the family's 1533-position model. The record is from RNAcentral.
GUCCACGCCUAACGAUGUCAACUGGUUGUUGGACGGCUUGCUGUUCAGUAACGAAGCUAACGCGUGAAGUUGACCGCCUGGGGAGUACGGCCGCAAGGUUGAACUCAAGGAUUGACGGGACCCGCACAAGCGGUGGAUGAUGUGGUUUAAUUCGAUGCAACGCGAAACCUUACCUACCCUUGACAUGUCAAGAAUUUUGCAGAGAUGUGAAAGUGCUCGAAAGAGAACUUGAACACAGGUGCUGCAUGGCCGUCGU